This 497-nucleotide ribosomal RNA is filed under the name uncultured bacterium. RNAcentral describes it as "partial 16S ribosomal RNA". It matches the Rfam family "Bacterial small subunit ribosomal RNA", at positions 28 to 507 of the family's 1533-position model. The record is from RNAcentral.
GAUGAACGCUGGCGGCGUGCCUAAUACAUGCAAGUCGAGCGAACAGAUAAGGAGCUUGCUCCUUUGACGUUAGCGGCGGACGGGUGAGUAACACGUGGGUAACCUACCUAUAAGACUGGGAUAACUUCGGGAAACCGGAGCUAAUACCGGAUAAUAUUUCGAACCGCAUGGUUCGAUAGUGAAAGAUGGUUUUGCUAUCACUUAUAGAUGGACCCGCGCCGUAUUAGCUAGUUGGGAAGGUAACGGCUUACCAAGGCGACGAUACGUAGCCGACCUGAGAGGGUGAUCGGCCACACGGGAACGGAGCCACGGUCCAGACUCCUACGGGAGGCAGCAGUAGGGAAUCUUACGCAAUGGGCGAAAGCCUGACGGAGCAACGCCGCGUGAGUGAUGAAGGUCUUCGGAUCGUAAAACUCUGUUAUUAGGGAAGAACAUACGUGUAAGUAACUGUGCACGUCUUGACGGUACCUAAUCAGAAAGCCACGGCUAACUACGUG